UACGUACAGCUAUUGUCUGAUCUCAAGACGGAGGCCCCACUCGAACUUCCUUACCUUUCUACCUUCAUCCAUCAUGCUAUUGGGAGAAUACCGACCCAACUCUAGAAACUUUCAAGCAUACUUUGACAUUGUUAUAUCACCCUAUAUCAGGUAUGCAAACUCCAUCUCUUUCAUGUGCCGAAUAUCCUCUGUGAGGUACUCUACAUUGAAGACUAUCAGGAAUUAUUCUCAAGUGAUUGAAACGGGUAGGGUGGCCUGCUUGAGCUAU
RNAcentral lists this long non-coding RNA (268 nucleotides) under Carica papaya (papaya). Its description in RNAcentral is "long non-coding RNA (CPAP_LNC016205)". The record is from RNAcentral. Lineage: Eukaryota; Viridiplantae; Streptophyta; Magnoliopsida; Brassicales; Caricaceae.